AGAGUUUGAUCCUGGCUCAGAACGAACGCUGGCGGCAGGCCUAACACAUGCAAGUCGAACGCCCUAGCAAUAGGGAGUGGCAGACGGGUGAGUAACACGUGGGAACCUUCCCUAUAGUACGGAAUAGCCCAGGGAAACUUGGAGUAAUACCGUAUACGCCCGAGAGGGGAAAGAUUUAUCGCUAUAGGAUGGGCCCGCGUCGGAUUAGCUAGUUGGUGAGGUAAUGGCUCACCAAGGCAACGAUCCGUAGCUGGUUUGAGAGAAUGACCAGCCACACUGGGACUGAGACACGGCCCAGACUCCUACGGGAGGCAGCAGUGGGGAAUCUUGGACAAUGGGCGCAAGCCUGAUCCAGCCAUGCCGCGUGAGUGAUGAAGGCCUUAGGGUUGUAAAGCUCUUUUGCCGGGGACGAUAAUGACGGUACCCGGAGAAUAGACCGAAUGGCCU
This 447-nucleotide ribosomal RNA is filed under the name uncultured Hyphomicrobium sp. RNAcentral's name for it is "bacterial SSU rRNA". It matches the Rfam family "Bacterial small subunit ribosomal RNA", at positions 8 to 506 of the family's 1533-position model. Lineage: Bacteria; Pseudomonadati; Pseudomonadota; Alphaproteobacteria; Hyphomicrobiales; Hyphomicrobiaceae. The record is from RNAcentral.